GAAGCUGGCCAGACGGUCGCUGCGCACCUUCGGGUGCGGAGAGGAAAGUCCGGGCUCCGCAGAGCAGGGUGACGGCUAACGGCCGUACGUACUAGUCGAUGGCUUGCCUUCGGCGAAGACGAGGAACAGGGCCACAGAGACGAGUCGCCGCGUGUCGGCGGCCAACGAGCGGCGCAAGCCGUGAGUUCGUCGCAAACGAUCGCGGCGGGUGAAACGCGGCAACCUCCACCCGGAGCAACACCAAAUAGGCGGACGCUGCGCGCGCAGGCAUGGCGCGCUAUGAGUGGCUCGCUCAAGUCCGCGGGUAGGUGGCUGGAGCCCUGGGGUAACCCAGGGCCUAGAGGAAUGACCGUCAUAGGGAGCAAUCCCCGUAACAGAACCCGGCUUACCGGCCGGCUUCACUU
RNAcentral lists this RNase P RNA (404 nucleotides) under Burkholderiales bacterium. RNAcentral describes it as "RNase P RNA component class A". It matches the Rfam family "Bacterial RNase P class A". Rfam says of the family: Ribonuclease P (RNase P) is a ubiquitous endoribonuclease, found in archaea, bacteria and eukarya as well as chloroplasts and mitochondria. The record is from RNAcentral. Lineage: Bacteria; Pseudomonadati; Pseudomonadota; Betaproteobacteria; Burkholderiales.